RNAcentral lists this ribosomal RNA (771 nucleotides) under Escherichia coli. Its description in RNAcentral is "partial 23S ribosomal RNA". It matches the Rfam family "Bacterial large subunit ribosomal RNA", at positions 757 to 1529 of the family's 2925-position model. RNAcentral also lists the same sequence under 1 other name. Lineage: Bacteria; Pseudomonadati; Pseudomonadota; Gammaproteobacteria; Enterobacterales; Enterobacteriaceae. The record is from RNAcentral.
UAACACUAACUGGAGGACCGAACCGACUAAUGUUGAAAAAUUAGCGGAUGACUUGUGGCUGGGGGUGAAAGGCCAAUCAAACCGGGAGAUAGCUGGUUCUCCCCGAAAGCUAUUUAGGUAGCGCCUCGUGAAUUCAUCUCCGGGGGUAGAGCACUGUUUCGGCAAGGGGGUCAUCCCGACUUACCAACCCGAUGCAAACUGCGAAUACCGGAGAAUGUUAUCACGGGAGACACACGGCGGGUGCUAACGUCCGUCGUGAAGAGGGAAACAACCCAGACCGCCAGCUAAGGUCCCAAAGUCAUGGUUAAGUGGGAAACGAUGUGGGAAGGCCCAGACAGCCAGGAUGUUGGCUUAGAAGCAGCCAUCAUUUAAAGAAAGCGUAAUAGCUCACUGGUCGAGUCGGCCUGCGCGGAAGAUGUAACGGGGCUAAACCAUGCACCGAAGCUGCGGCAGCGACGCUUAUGCGUUGUUGGGUAGGGGAGCGUUCUGUAAGCCUGUGAAGGUGGCCUGUGAGGGUUGCUGGAGGUAUCAGAAGUGCGAAUGCUGACAUAAGUAACGAUAAAGCGGGUGAAAAGCCCGCUCGCCGGAAGACCAAGGGUUCCUGUCCAACGUUAAUCGGGGCAGGGUGAGUCGACCCCUAAGGCGAGGCCGAAAGGCGUAGUCGAUGGGAAACAGGUUAAUAUUCCUGUACUUGGUGUUACUGCGAAGGGGGGACGGAGAAGGCUAUGUUGGCCGGGCGACGGUUGUCCCGGUUUAAGCGUGUAGGCUGGU